GUUUGUACUAAUAAUUGAUUGUGUCAGUUUAUCAACAGCGCACUGAAAACGACCUACAGUUGGACAAUGUAGUGGCCAGCUGCAGCUUUGACCCAGAAUCGAUUUGCAAUAUUUGGGUUUAAUCCAAUAGCCCUCAUAUUACCUCAAUUCGUUGAGCAAUAUCCGAGGCUGGUAUCAUUUUGGGUACGGCCACAAAUACGCAAAACAAUGAAUGUAGAAGAUGCGAGGUUUCUUCCUGAAUAGAAAAGGGGAAAGGAGAACACUCUCUAAAGGGUCAAUUCAUAAGAAUGUGUCUCGGCUAACAUAGCUUUACAGCGAACCGGCAAUACCAUCUGUUGCCGGACAGGCCUUCCCCCGAUUGAAGCUUGUGGGCAAUAUUUAUGAGACGGGUGAUAUGUCAUAAUAACAUCGGGACACUGGAAUGAAUGCAAUUCUUAUCCUUUUUUGUUGGAUUCGCGUCUCGCAGCCUCCACGCAUGAGGUCCAUUCGCCUGAAGGCAUUUAAUAUUCGUGGUGAAUCUGGCAUAUGAGCACAUGGCUGUGCUGACCCUGAGUCCCUGAAUCUCCAGAACCAACUGACUGUCUCUUACUCUUGGUAGUUCUGAAGCAAGCUGCAGGGGUAUUUCCAAUUGUGCAGGGACGAGCGAGCACCACCACCAAAAUGCCAAUUCCCAACACAAAGAGGAUCAAGUUGAACAGCCACUCAAUCGGGGGAAGCUUCCAGGACAGUUAACUGCUGUAUUAAUUUCAUUGCUGACGACAAUCAAAGCGGAUGGUUAGUUGCAGCAACAUCAUUCCCAAAAUCCACAAGGGGGAAGGCUGGCGGGUCCAUAGACGGCAAGCGAGGUCUGAGAGGUUUUAAGCUCUAGCAUUGCUGAAUUGGAAAGUUGAUUGUUUCUGGAUAUGGCUGUUAUCUUCUUCAACGCAAUAAGAGACACAUGCAUCUUGACAGUAUGAUGGUGGCGUUCCAUGUAUUUUUGUAUUGAUCGGUGCGUGUAUGAAAUGUAUUUCUAGAAUCAAUCAGUAUGAUAAAAGCUA
Molecule: small RNA, 1037 nt
Filed under: Histoplasma capsulatum var. duboisii H88
Lineage: Eukaryota; Fungi; Ascomycota; Eurotiomycetes; Onygenales; Ajellomycetaceae
Description: Histoplasma capsulatum H88 hypothetical RNA
Source: RNAcentral